CGAAUAUGUAGUAUAUGUUCAACUCUCAAAGUAGAUGAUACAGCAAAUAUGAAGCAGAACUCAAAGAUUACAACAUGAUAGUAAAAUGAAAAUUCCAGCAUGACACAAUGCUACCAAUGGCCCAUUUGGCAUAGCUUUUAAUUUCAAAUCCCAAAGGAAAGCUGCAGGGAUGACAAAAAAAGGGCGCUUUCCUAUUCCGGCAAGACUCGCUGUUGAGUCAACCUCCCCUCGGGUCUAGGCCCUCUUUUCCUCCACAUCGUUAUUUCCUCCAUUGAUAUACAAUUUCUCUUGCCAUUUUUGCUUUUUUAUUUAUUUAUAUAUUGAUCAUCAUCCCAAGAAUCCCUUGGUGAGUGAGCCAUGGGUACGGUGCACGAACGAUGGACCAAAAAGACUCGGUCAUAGGAAUUUAGACCACUUACGUGCUGGUAAACGAAAACCACCUCGACCGGAUCAGAGUAAACAACAACUUUUGCUCUUGUAGAAAAGUUUUGAAGGAAGUCACCUUAAUUUUUGUUUAAAAACAAAUUUUCAAAAAAGCUUCCCACUCCAGAUGUGCUUUUGGAAGAAGUCACAUUAGACCAAUUUCCUCUAAAAGCUCUUCUAAGUAGAAGAAAAGAGCAAAACGGGUCCAAAAAGCUGCUUUUGGGUCUCAAAAGAUUCUUUUUACUUUUCAAAACUCAUGCCAAAUGGGCUCUAAUUCUCUAUAGCAUACACAUUGCUGCUUUGUGGAUCCUAGACAGCAGUGACUGCACGAGAGAUCCCAGACUGAAGUUUGCCUCUGCCGGAUCAAACUUUCUACUGGCUGUCAUGUUUAAAUCUUUUUUGAAUCUUCAUUUCCCUCCAUGAUUGACUGGUUUGCAUAGAAAUCAUUCAUCAUUUCAAUAAACCCAUGACAUUGAGAAGUGUAAAAACAUAUUUUCUUCAAAUUUAAUCUCAGUUUUCCUAGAGCAUUCUUGUGCUGGCUAGAGCAUGCAUGAGCCAGGGGUCCAACUGGCGUCUUCAUGCACUGGGUGGCAUGCACGCGCACUCACCAAGCACCUUUUAGAC
Molecule: long non-coding RNA, 1047 nt
Filed under: Olea europaea subsp. europaea
Lineage: Eukaryota; Viridiplantae; Streptophyta; Magnoliopsida; Lamiales; Oleaceae
Source: RNAcentral